UGGACCUCAGAUCAGGCAAGAUUACCCGCUGAGUUUAAGCAUAUCACUAAGCGGAGGAAAAGAAACUAAC
This 70-nucleotide ribosomal RNA is filed under the name Adelanthus lindenbergianus. RNAcentral describes it as "partial 26S ribosomal RNA". It matches the Rfam family "Eukaryotic large subunit ribosomal RNA", at positions 1 to 69 of the family's 3401-position model. The record is from RNAcentral. Lineage: Eukaryota; Viridiplantae; Streptophyta; Jungermanniopsida; Jungermanniales; Adelanthaceae. RNAcentral also lists the same sequence under 3 other names.